RNAcentral lists this transfer RNA (75 nucleotides) under Elusimicrobiota bacterium. RNAcentral describes it as "Elusimicrobia bacterium tRNA-Thr". It matches the Rfam family "tRNA". From Rfam's summary of the family: Transfer RNA (tRNA) molecules are approximately 80 nucleotides in length. Lineage: Bacteria; Pseudomonadati; Elusimicrobiota. The record is from RNAcentral.
GCCGGCGUAGUGAUAACGGCAGCACGGCCCCUUGGUAGGGGGCCAGUCGAGGUUCGAUUCCUCGCGCCGGCUCCA